CUUGUAUUGCUGAGGUUUGCUACCAACUAGGUGGGUUUGGCUAUGGAACUUGUCUAGUGCCCUCUGUUGGUAGCAACAGCAAUAUGCACUACCUGAAUUGCAAGACUGGUUCAUUUGCAUAUUCGGGUAGAUUUGCAUAUUGCUAAUUCUGCAGGCAGGUGAGAUAUUUACUGUUAAAUAUUGUCUCCCCCCCACCCCUUUAAACAUGUGCCAUUGUGUUGUGAUAAGUCACUGUGUGUUGCUU
Molecule: non-coding RNA, 244 nt
Organism: Pelobates cultripes (western spadefoot toad)
Lineage: Eukaryota; Metazoa; Chordata; Amphibia; Anura; Pelobatidae
Source: the annotation of a GenBank genome assembly